AAAGGAAUAGACGGGGACCCGCACAAGCAGCGGAGCAUGUGGUUUAAUUCGACGCAACGCGAAAAACCUUACCAGGGUUUGACAUCCUCUGAUCGCCUAAGAGAUUAGGUUUCCCUUCGGGGCAGAGAGACAGGUGGUGCAUGGUUGUCGUCAGCUCGUGUCGUGAGAUGUUAGGUUAAGUCCUGCAACGAGCGCAACCCCUAUAUACAGUUGCCAAUAUUCAGUUAGGAACUCUGUAUAGACUGCCGUGGACAACACGGAGGAAGGUGGGGAUGACGUCAAAUCAUCACGCCCCUUACAUCCUGGGCUACACACGUGCUACAAUGGCUAUUACAAAGAGCUGCAAAACCGUAAGGUCUAGCGAAUCUCAUAAAGAUAGUCUCAGUUCAGAUUGUGGGCUGCAACCCGCCCACAUGAAGUCGGAGUUGCUAGUAAUCCCGAAUCAGCAUGUCGGGGUGAAUGCGUUCCCGGGUCUUGUACACACCGCCCGU
Molecule: ribosomal RNA, 491 nt
Filed under: uncultured bacterium
Lineage: Bacteria
Description: bacterial SSU rRNA
Rfam family: Bacterial small subunit ribosomal RNA
Source: RNAcentral